RNAcentral lists this ribosomal RNA (271 nucleotides) under uncultured bacterium. RNAcentral's name for it is "partial 16S ribosomal RNA". It matches the Rfam family "Bacterial small subunit ribosomal RNA", at positions 43 to 339 of the family's 1533-position model. The record is from RNAcentral.
UCAGGCCUAACACAUGCAAGUCGAGCGCUCACAGCAAUGUGGGAGCGGCAGACGGGUGAGUAACGCGUGGGAACCUACCUAUUGCUGCGGAAUAACUCAGGGAAACUUGAGCUAAUACCGCAUGUGCCCUUCGGGGGAAAGAUUUAUCGGCAAUAGAUGGGCCCGCGUCGGAUUAGCUAGUUGGUGGGGUAACGGCCUACCAAGGCGACGAUCCGUAGCUGGUCUGAGAGGAUGAUCAGCCACACUGGGACUGAGACACGGCCCAGACUCC